CCUACGGGGUGCUGCAGUGGGGAAUAUUGGACAAUGGGCGAAAGCCUGAUCCAGCCAUGCCGCGUGUGUGAAGAAGGCCUUCGGGUUGUAAAGCACUUUCAGUGGGGAAGAAAGCCUUGGGGCUAAUACCCUCGAGGAAGGACAUCACCCACAGAAGAAGCACCGGCUAACUCCGUGCCAGCAGCCGCGGUAUACGGAGGGUGCGAGCGUUAAUCGGAAUUACUGGGCGUAAAGCGCGCGUAGGCGGUCUGAUAAGCCGGUUGUGAAAGCCCCGGGCUCAACCUGGGAACGGCAUCCGGAACUGUCAGGCUAGAGUGCAGGAGAGGAAGGUAGAAUUCCCGGUGUAGCGGUGAAAUGCGUAGAGAUCGGGAGGAAUACCAGUGGCGAAGGCGGCCUUCUGGACUGACACUGACGCUGAGGUGCGAAAGCGUGGGUAGCAAACAGGAUUAGAUACCCCAGUAGUC
RNAcentral lists this ribosomal RNA (464 nucleotides) under Vreelandella stevensii. RNAcentral's name for it is "partial 16S ribosomal RNA". It matches the Rfam family "Bacterial small subunit ribosomal RNA", at positions 338 to 795 of the family's 1533-position model. Lineage: Bacteria; Pseudomonadati; Pseudomonadota; Gammaproteobacteria; Oceanospirillales; Halomonadaceae. The record is from RNAcentral.